AAAAAAUUGAUACUCUCCUUUUGUAAAACACUGGAUGGCCUACACAAUAACUAAAACUUACCCACAUCAGGGAUAGGUGAAGACUAACUGGGGGAAAAACCUACCCACAUCAGGGAUAGGUGAAGACUAACUGGGGGAAAAAACAUGUACAAUGGAUUUUUCUCAUAGCUGUCUAAUGCAGGCUUAACAAAAAAAUCAGUAAAUGAACUGAAAAAAUGUAAACUGACAUAAAAUGGCCAUAAAGAUAACAAAGACUAAACUGCUCUAAACACGAUAUUCACAGCAAAUUAAAGUACUGAAAGUCUGGUGAAAGCUCAGAUGUAAGAAAUUUUUAAUACAGGUACUUACUUGGUUAAUAAGUGUUACAGUACUUGGUUAAUAUAAGCUUGAUGAAAUAAAACCACUGUUUAUUCAUAUUCUUUUCUGAUUUUACUUCCUUGCACAAUUAUGCAUUUAAACGGUUCCUUUUGACUUUUAACAUAAUUUGAUGAUAAAUAUAGAUAUCUUACCUGCAGACAAAUAUUUUCUUAAAAAGUCUCCAUGGUAUUGUCAAAUAACCAUCUUUUUGGAAAACCUGGUUAACAAAUGUUAUAAAAUAUUUCAAGAAUUUCAAGUAUUAAACACAGGCCUAAUAUUCAGUUUUGAUUUUAAUCUCUCAUAGACUGCUCCGGACAGCCUGGUUUGGAGUAAUCUUGUCGUUUAUCGAGAUAACAUAAAAUAAAGCCUGGACUAGGUGUAUGGAAAUGAAAAUUGUUUUAAUGAAUUAAUGGCAACCUGGGAGUAAAUUUACUAAAACGGCAAUGUUACUAUCUUUCUCGCUAGAAUAAUUAGAUUUUAUGAUGGACAGAGUGUCAAUAUAGUGUUUAAAUCUAAGUGAGACCACCCUCAUACCAAUGUAUAACUUGUGUAUAUUUAUUGUAGUCAUUUUUUUUACAGUAUCUAUGACCUGAUUGUUAUGUUCAUUGUAUGUACAUAUGCAUGACGAGAAACUGUGUACAGUUUAAGUCAAUAAAAUGUUCUUCUUCUUCUUCUAAAGAAAAAAAUAUAUUAAAUGUUUGACACAUUAAAUAAUUCCAAAGAAUGUCUGAAAAUCAACAGGCACUGACCAUAUCUUUUUAUUUGCCAAAUUUUCUACGUAUAUUCUAAAGUUUAAAAAAAUCGGGGUUUAAUCAAAUUCUACAAUGUAGAAAAAAAUUUGAUCCAAUCGUGCAGAACUACCUUAAUGUUUGAUUAGCAGGAAGUGAUGGCAUAAUUUCUUUUAUCAGUAAAACCAAGGAAAAUGCCUGGUUGUUAUACAGGUAGU
This is a long non-coding RNA of Mercenaria mercenaria, 1303 nucleotides long. RefSeq lists it as uncharacterized. The record is from RefSeq and is a predicted model, not a curated record. NCBI's taxonomy places the organism in Eukaryota, Metazoa, Mollusca, Bivalvia, Venerida, Veneridae. The transcript is spliced from 2 exons.